This 457-nucleotide ribosomal RNA is filed under the name uncultured bacterium. RNAcentral's name for it is "bacterial SSU rRNA". It matches the Rfam family "Bacterial small subunit ribosomal RNA", at positions 29 to 531 of the family's 1533-position model. The record is from RNAcentral.
AACGAACGCUGGCGGCAGGCCUAACACAUGCAAGUCGAACGCCCCGCAAGGGGAGUGGCAGACGGGUGAGUAACGCGUGGGAACCUACCUAGAGGUGCGGAAUAGCCCAGGGAAACUUGGAGUAAUACCGCAUAAGCCCGCAAGGGGAAAGAUUUAUCGCCUUUAGAUGGGCCCGCGUCUGAUUAGCUAGUUGGUGAGGUAAUGGCUCACCAAGGCGACGAUCAGUAGCUGGUUUGAGAGAAUGACCAGCCACACUGGGACUGAGACACGGCCCAGACUCCUACGGGAGGCAGCAGUGGGGAAUCUUGGACAAUGGGGGCAACCCUGAUCCAGCCAUGCCGCGUGAGUGACGAAGGCCUUAGGGUUGUAAAGCUCUUUUGGCGGGGACGAUAAUGACGGUACCCGCAGAAUAAGUCCCGGCUAACUUCGUGCCAGCAGCCGCGGUAAAGUCUGUACU